RNAcentral lists this long non-coding RNA (736 nucleotides) under Capsella rubella. Its description in RNAcentral is "long non-coding RNA (CRUB_LNC003043)". The record is from RNAcentral. Lineage: Eukaryota; Viridiplantae; Streptophyta; Magnoliopsida; Brassicales; Brassicaceae.
GAAACCAUCCGUUUUUCGAAUGCAGCUAUACUCAUCUCGUGUAUGGGACCACCUUGCUUGAAAGAUAUUGCUGAACUAUUACACAACUAAUUAUGAUGCUCUUCUUACGCUGAUUUCCGGACAAUCUUUCAAAUACUCAACCCGCUUCAUUCUUAGGUAUGCUCUCCAAGCCGCAAUCCACUCCAUUUGGAGUAAACCGAACAGUAGGCAUCAUGGCAACAAUCCGCCACCUCCGGAGACGCUUGUCAAGUUCAUCGAUCGCCUAUUCCGUAACAGGUUUUGCUUCUUGCAACAAGGAAAAUCCAAAUUUGAGGACGUACUUUAAAGUUGGGUUGCCUCUCAAAGACAAUUUUAGCUCAAUAAUAAGACUUGUUUCUAUUCUUUAUAUCCAGCAAACUAUAAACUUGUGCAAACAAUAAAAAUUAAUAUUAGAUUAAAGUAAUUAUAUCUCUCAGUUUUCCAAAUCUGAUGUGAAAGAAUAAUCAAAGCAAUAGCAUCAAUAAUAAUAAAACAAAACAAAUAUGGAAACUUCAUCCCCUUAAUCUAGGCGUAUCUACAUCACUCCACCAUUGUAGCAAUCAAAUAUUCAUAUAUGAUCAAAACUGAGAAAGAACAAUAACUGCCACCACGUAUAUAUUUGGAAUAUACCUCCGUUCAUGAUCUCAAAUUGCCAUUUCCAAGAUCUUUAAAAAUAUUCUUAAAUUCAUCCCCAUGCUCAUCACAACUCUAGGUUUAA